CGUGUAGGCGGCCCGUUAAGACAGGUGUGAAAUUCCUGGGCUCAACCCAGGACGUGCGCCUGUGACUGGCGGGCUUGAGUCCGGGAGAGGAUGGUGGAACUCCCAGUGUAGAGGUGAAAUUCGUAGAUAUUGGGAAGAACACCCGUGGCGAAGGCGGCCAUCUGGACCGGUACUGACGCUAAGGCGCGACAGCGUGGGGAGCAAACAGGAUUAGAUACCCUGGUAGUCCACGCCGUAAACGAUGAGUGCUAGACGUUGGGAAGCCUAGCUUUUCAGUGUCGCAGCUAACGCAUUAAGCACUCCGCCUGGGGAGUACGGCCGCAAGGUUGAA
Molecule: ribosomal RNA, 331 nt
Filed under: uncultured Rhodospirillales bacterium
Lineage: Bacteria; Pseudomonadati; Pseudomonadota; Alphaproteobacteria; Rhodospirillales
Description: bacterial SSU rRNA
Rfam family: Bacterial small subunit ribosomal RNA
Source: RNAcentral